UUAAAGUUAUAAUUUUUCAUGUUUUUCAAACAUUCAAAAUUUAAUCUAUGAUUUCAUAAGGUUUCUUAGUCAAUCCUUUUUAAUAACUUAUACCAUUUUUCUUAAACAAAAUCCUACGACAAAAUCUAGGAAAUUUGGGUGUUCGAUUUCCUAGAAUUCUUGAGGCAAGGGAUCACGCCUUUGGGUGUCCAAGAUUUGAUCCCAAGAAAAAAGAUGAUUUUAAUUAAUGUUUUUUAAAAAAUCUCUUUUUUAGAAGACUAUCCCUAUGACAGAUUUUGAGAAAUUGUAUUAAUUUCUCACUUUCUUAAGGUGAGAAGAUUUUCUUCAAUAUAGUCUAAUUGAUGGAAUGCUUUCCACUUAUUCUAUGAGAUCAUUGCUUCAAAUUUUGGAGUAAUGAGGGGUAAAAUAAGACAAUUAAAGAAUAUUUUCAAUAAUUCAAGAUUUGAAAUUUGGCUACCGUUUUCUAAACAGGUGUUGUGAGGUGCUAACACCUUCCUCAUACACAAAUGACUCUCGAACUCAACUCUUGUUUUUGUAGACCAUUUUUUUAUGAUUUAUUUAAAAUUGUUUAUUUUAUUUCGGUAUCCAAUCACAUCGUGAAAAAGAUUGGUGGCGACUCCUAUUUUGUUUUGAAAUUAACCCGUUUUAAGGACGUCGGUCGCUCUGCGUCGUCUCGAGCACGUGGCGACAUUAUGUAUUGGUGGAAAAUGAAUGGGUACAAAUAUCCCAUUCUAUCAACAAUUGUUCGUGAUGUUUUGACGGUUUCAAUAUCUAUGGUGGCUUUUGAAUUUGCAUUUAGUACAGGUGGGAGGAUUCUUUAUUACUUUCGUAGUUUUCUGACUUCUAGAACAGUCGAAACCUUGAUAUGUACACAAAAUUGGAUUUGAUGCAGUUGGGUGUUAUUAUAUCUUCAUCAUCAACUUGAAGAGUUAGAGACUUGUGAGAAUAUUGAGACAGGGAGAACAAUCACCCAAAAUCGUCAUCGUCGUGGUACACUUUGGACGCCAAGUUGAAAUCUUUUUUUAAUGAACUUUAAACAUUUUAAUGUAUUUUUAAUGGACAUUAUUUAAUUUUGAACUUUUCAAACUAUUUUUCAAUUUGAAUGGACAUUAUUGAACUUUAAACUUUUGAA
Cucumis melo (muskmelon) is the source of this 1132-nucleotide long non-coding RNA. RefSeq lists it as uncharacterized. The transcript is spliced from 2 exons. NCBI's taxonomy places the organism in Eukaryota, Viridiplantae, Streptophyta, Magnoliopsida, Cucurbitales, Cucurbitaceae. The record is from RefSeq and is a predicted model, not a curated record.